This 74-nucleotide transfer RNA is filed under the name Corynespora cassiicola Philippines. It matches the Rfam family "tRNA". From Rfam's summary of the family: Transfer RNA (tRNA) molecules are approximately 80 nucleotides in length. Their secondary structure includes four short double-helical elements and three loops (D, anti-codon, and T loops). The record is from Rfam by way of RNAcentral. Lineage: Eukaryota; Fungi; Ascomycota; Dothideomycetes; Pleosporales; Corynesporascaceae.
GCCCGAUUGGCACAAUUGGUUAGCGCGUGAGACUUUUAAUCUCAAGGCUGUGGGUUCGAGUCCCACAUCGGGCG